GACGAACGCUGGCGGCGUGCCUAACACAUGCAAGUCACGGGGGGUAGCAAUACCAACCGGCGAACGGGUGCGGAACACGUGAGCAAUCUGCCGAUUACUGGGGGAUAGCCGGGCCAACGCCCGGGUAAUACCGCAUACGCUCAUUGGGGGACAUCCCCCGAUGAGGAAACCUCCGGGGGUAAUCGAGGAGCUCGCGUCUUAUCAGCUAGUUGGCGGGGUAACGGCCCACCAAGGCUACGACGGGUAGCUGGCUGAGAGGAUGGCCAGCCACAUUGGGACUGCGACACGGCCCAGACUCCUACGGGAGGCAGCAGUGGGGAAUAUUGCGCAAUGGACGAAAGUCUGACGCAGCGACGCCGCGUGUGGGAUGAAGCUCUUCGGGUGUAACCACUGUUGCCGGACGAAUUUCUGGUUUGACCAGAUUGACGGUACCGGGUGGAGGAAGCACCGGCUAACUCUGU
Molecule: ribosomal RNA, 461 nt
Filed under: uncultured bacterium
Lineage: Bacteria
Description: bacterial SSU rRNA
Rfam family: Bacterial small subunit ribosomal RNA
Source: RNAcentral